AUUUUAGUAUAAGUAUGGCCAGUGAAAUAUUUGGGACAUACUUAUACUAAGA
RNAcentral lists this microRNA precursor (52 nucleotides) under Marmota monax (woodchuck). The record is from RNAcentral. Lineage: Eukaryota; Metazoa; Chordata; Mammalia; Rodentia; Sciuridae.